UACGUAGGGUGCGAGCGUUAAUCGGAAUUACUGGGCGUAAAGUGUGCGCAGGCGGCCGAGCAAGUCGAGUGUGAAAGCCCCGAGCUUAACUUGGGAAUUGCGCUCGAAACUACUUGGCUGGAGUGUGGCAGAGGAAGGUGGAAUUCCAGGUGUAGCGGUGAAAUGCGUAGAGAUCUGGAGGAACACCGAUGGCGAAGGCAGCCUUCUGGGCCAACACUGACGCUCAUGCACGAAAGCGUGGGGAUCAAACAGG
RNAcentral lists this ribosomal RNA (253 nucleotides) under uncultured bacterium. Its description in RNAcentral is "partial 16S ribosomal RNA". It matches the Rfam family "Bacterial small subunit ribosomal RNA", at positions 524 to 776 of the family's 1533-position model. The record is from RNAcentral.